RNAcentral lists this long non-coding RNA (652 nucleotides) under Pongo abelii (Sumatran orangutan). RNAcentral's name for it is "lncRNA (ENSPPYG00000041637.1)". The record is from RNAcentral. Lineage: Eukaryota; Metazoa; Chordata; Mammalia; Primates; Hominidae.
CUAAGCUCCAGGUUCCAAAAGUGGCAUAUUGUCACUAUAGCAACCACCAUGCUUACUUGGAUUUGAAACCCAGGCAACGAGUGGUGGAUAGGACUAUAACAUUAAGGUAGAUAUAUGCUCUGAUGGACUGGUAUGCCUGCCUGUUGAUAGUCAAUGAUUGCAUUUCUCUGGAAUGACCACAGCAAUAUUUCCAGCCGUUGAUGAUCUUCUAGAACUUUGCCACUUCCCUGCAUCAAGAGGUAAAAUCCAUUUCUAUUCUCUUGAAUUUGAACUGGACUUUGCUUCAAUGAAUUGAGGGCUGAAGAAUUAACACUCUGUGACUUCAUGACUUGUUGGAAAUUGUGAGGAAUCUCAGGCCACAUGGAGGGGCCAGUGAAGAUGUUCCAGCUUAUAGCCCCAGCAACCACCAGACUAACCAGAAUUGGCUACAGUUUCUUCAAGAAAAUACCCCAAUGGAAGAAAAACAGGUGGAGGGAGAAACUGAAUGAAGAAAGGAUGAUUUGAAAUUACCAGAAAGUGGAACAUGGAAAAAACAGAUUAAAACUAGUUUGAGAAUAAAAUCUUAGGUUGUUACACCUUCUGGGAAUUUAUUCUUUAAAUAUUGCUUUUAACUGGAUUCUUUGGUAAAUAGUAAAUGCAUUUUGGCUUUGAU